GCAUUUCAACAGUUUCAUGCGGUCUUUCUUUUGAAUACAAAAGCUAACAGAACGCACAGUGAUUGCUAAUUAUACCAAUGAAAAAUAAAGCAAUGGGUACGAUGGAAGUGCUGGAAACUGAAGAGUUCAACGGAUGCAGCAGAUAGGUACCAUGGCUGCUUCUCUCCACUCGCGUGUCCUCGGCUGAACUCGGGCUCCGCGCGCGCUCAUUAUUAUGUCUGACGCCAACAGAACAGAAGUGCCGCGUUCCAUCUGCCUGAGCGGCGCGUUCCCGGCCAGAAUACUAACGAGCGCUCCAAGUCCAAAAUCACUGCCUAUCUCCAUGCACCUCGCCAGUGAAUCAAGGCAAUCAAUACGCCGCCACGCAGCGGUGCCCGCGAAUAUGCGCGUGAACGGCACGCAGAGAGACCGGCGUCGGUACCGCUCUGUGCCCAAGACCGAAACGGGGACGUGCGCUACAUGAUGUCGGACUUUGCAGUUUUUACAGAAAUCUCUAACAUUGACUGUGCAUUAACAAUCUGAUACAAAAUAUUACUGCGCUUAGCUGUCAACUGGUUUAAUUUGAAUGACCUUAAGCGGACUCACCCAGAGGCUAUGAAGACGUUUGGUGACGGCAGUGCUAGAUGCCACCUAUAUCCACAUUCCCCUGCAGGGAAGAGCCUUUGAUUCUGGGAAAAGCACAGAAGUACGUCAGUGUUUUUCUACAUGAAGAUGACCUGCCCGCUCUUGCUCUGUGACACAGUGAUGUCGCCCCCGGGUGUGUUUGGAUGACCGCAGACGUUAGGAGACCGGGAAGAAGAAACAGAGAAAAGAGUAAAAGAAAAUCAGAGAAGGAAAAGAAGAGGAGAAGGCAGUCCAGUCCACACCCUGAGAUCCAGAACUCGACACUCUCAUCGGACCGGAACCACGGACCCGCUCUCUC
Long non-coding RNA from Paramormyrops kingsleyae, 922 nucleotides. RefSeq lists it as uncharacterized. NCBI's taxonomy places the organism in Eukaryota, Metazoa, Chordata, Actinopteri, Osteoglossiformes, Mormyridae. The record is from RefSeq and is a predicted model, not a curated record.